This 126-nucleotide ribosomal RNA is filed under the name uncultured bacterium. Its description in RNAcentral is "partial 16S ribosomal RNA". It matches the Rfam family "Bacterial small subunit ribosomal RNA", at positions 1360 to 1482 of the family's 1533-position model. The record is from RNAcentral.
CGGUGAAUACGUUCCCGGGCCUUGUACACACCGCCCGUCACACCACGAAAGUCGGCAACACCCGAAGCCGGUGGCCCAACCCUUUUGGGGGGGGAGCCGUCGAAGGUGGGGUUGGCGAUUGGGGUG